GACGAACGCUGGCGGCGUGCUUAACACAUGCAAGUCGAACGAUGAAGAAGAGAAACGCGAACUUCGGUUCAAAUUUCACUUCGGAUUAGUGGCAGACGGGUGAGUAACGCGUGAGCAACCUACCUCUUACAAAGGGAUAGCCUCGGGAAACCGUGAUUAAUACCAUAUGACACAUUCAUAAGGCAUCUUAAGAAUGUUAAAGCUACGGCGGUAAGAGAUGGGCUCGCGUCCCAUUAGCUAGUUGGUGAGGUAACGGCCCACCAAGGCGACGAUGGGUAACCGGGCUGGGAGGGUGAACGGUCACAUUGGAACUGAGACACGGUCCAAAAUCCUACGGGAGGCAGCAGUGGGGAAUAUUGCACAAUGGAGGGAACUCUGAUGCAGCGACGCCGCGUGAGCGAUGAAGGAAUUCGUUUCGUAAAGCUCUGUUCUAUGGGAAGAAAAGGACUGUACCAUAGGAGAAAGCCCCGGCUAAAUACGUG
Molecule: ribosomal RNA, 482 nt
Filed under: uncultured bacterium
Lineage: Bacteria
Description: partial 16S ribosomal RNA
Rfam family: Bacterial small subunit ribosomal RNA
Source: RNAcentral